UGCCUGUACCAUAACCGACACAGGUGGGUAGGUAGAGUAUACUAAGGGGCGCGAGAUAACUCUCUCUAAGGAACUCGGCAAAAUGACUCCGUAACUUCGGGAGAAGGAGUGCCUUAUUUAUAAGGUUGCAAUAACAAGAUCCAAGCAACUGUUUAUCAAAAACACAGGUCUCCGCUAAGUCGUAAGACGAUGUAUGGGGGCUGACGCCUGCCCAGUGCCAGAAGGUUAAAGAAGUUGGUUAGUGUAUGCGAAGCUGAUGACUGAAGCCCUGGUGAACGGCGGCCGUAACAAUAACGGUCCUAAGGUAGCGGAAUUCCUUGUCGGGUAAGUUCCGACCCGCACGAAAGGCGUAAUGAUUUGGAUACUGUCUCGGAGAGAGGCUCGGUGAAAUAGACUUGUCUGUGAAGAUGCGGACUACCUGCACCAGGACAGAAAGACCCUAUGAAGCUUUACUGUAACUUGAAAUUGGAAUUGGACUUUGCUUGCGCAGUAUAGGUGGGAAGCGUUGAAGAUAUUCUUGCGGGAGUAUUGGAGCUAUCAGUGAGAUACCACUCUUGUAAUGUUAGAUUUCUAACUUUGAACCAUAAUCUGGUCAAAGAACAGUUUCAGGUGGGCAGUUUGACUGGGGCGGUCGCCUCCCAAAUGGUAACGGAGGCGUACAAAGGUUUCCUCUGAACGGAUAGAAAUCGUAUCUAGAGUGUAAAGGCAUAAGGAAGCUUGACUGCGAGACCUACAAGUCGAGCAGGGACGAAAGUCGGUCUUAGUGAUCUGACGGUACUGAGUGGAAAGGCCGUCACUCAACGGAUAAAAGUUACUCUAGGAUAACAGGCUGAUCUCCCCCAAGAGUUCACAUCGACGGGGAGGUUUGGCACCUCGAUGUCGGCUCAUCGCAUCCUGGGGCGGUAGUACGUCCCAAGGGUUGGGCUGUUCGCCCAUGAAAGCGGUACGCGAGCUGGGUUCAGAACGUCGUGAGACAGUUCGGUCCAUAUCCGGUGUAGGCGUUAGAAUAUUGAGAGGAGCCUUCUUUAGUACGAGAGGACCGAGAAGGACACACCGCUGGUGUACCAGUUAUCGUGCCAACGGUAAACGCUGGGUAGCUAUGUGUGGAGUGGAUAACCGCUGAAAGCAUCUAAGUGGGAAGCCCACCUCAAGAUGAGUAUUCUCAUCACUAUAAGUGAGUAAGGUCACGGUAAGACUAACCGUUUGAUAGGCAUUAAGUGUAAAUGUAGUAAUGCAUGUGCUGAGAUGUCCUAACAGACCGAGGACUUGA
RNAcentral lists this ribosomal RNA (1270 nucleotides) under metagenome. RNAcentral describes it as "bacterial LSU rRNA". It matches the Rfam family "Bacterial large subunit ribosomal RNA", at positions 1639 to 2925 of the family's 2925-position model. The record is from RNAcentral.